UACAGACGGCGCAAGCGUUAUCCGGAAUGAUUGGGCGUAAAGCGUCUGUAGGUGGUUUCCGAAGUCUACUGUCAAAUCCCAGGGCUCAACCUUGGACGGGCAGUGGAGAACUCGGGGGCUAGAGUACGGUAGGGGUAGAGGGAAUUCCCGGUGAAGCAGUGAAAUGCACAGAGAUCGGGAAGAACACCAGUGGCGAAGGCGCUCUACUAGGCCGUGACUGACACUGAGAGACGAUAGCUAGGGGAGCGAAUAGG
This 254-nucleotide ribosomal RNA is filed under the name uncultured bacterium. Its description in RNAcentral is "partial 16S ribosomal RNA". It matches the Rfam family "Bacterial small subunit ribosomal RNA", at positions 524 to 776 of the family's 1533-position model. The record is from RNAcentral.